This 465-nucleotide ribosomal RNA is filed under the name uncultured bacterium. RNAcentral's name for it is "partial 16S ribosomal RNA". It matches the Rfam family "Bacterial small subunit ribosomal RNA", at positions 28 to 507 of the family's 1533-position model. The record is from RNAcentral.
GAUGAACGCUGGCGGCGUGCUUAACACAUGCAAGUCGAACGGAAAGGCUCCUGCUUCUCGGUGUACUCGAGUGGCGAACGGGGGAGUAACACGUGGGUGUUCUGCUCUGCUCUUCGGGAUAAGCCUGGGAAACUGAGUCUAAUACCGGAUAGGAUGCUGCUUUGGAUUGCAUUGUGGAGAGUUUUUCGGUUUUGGAUGGGCUCGCGGCCUAUCAGCUUGUUGGUGGGGUAAUGGCCUACCAACGCCUCGACCGAUAACCGGCCUGAGAGGUUGGACGGCGACAUUGGGACUGAGAUACGGCCCAGACGCCUACGGGAGGCAGCAGUGGGGAAUAUUGCACAAUGGGAGCAAGCCUGAUGCAGCGACGCCGCGUGGGUGAUGACGGCCUUCGGGUUGUAAACACCUUUCGCUAGGGACGAAGCGCAAGUGACGGUACCUGAAGAAGAAGCACCGGCUAACUACGUG